UACGUAGGGGGCGAGCGUUGUCCGGAUUCAUUGGGCGUAAAGCGCUUUAAGGCGGUUCGCUAAGUCGGGUGUGAAACCUCCAGGCUCAACCUGGAGACGCCACUCGAUACUGGCGUGACUAGAGUUCGGUAGGGGACCACGGAAUUCCUGGUGUAGCGGUGAAAUGCGCAGAUAUCAGGAGGAACACCAGUGGCGAAGGCGGUGGCCUGGGCCGAUACUGACGCUGUAGAGCGAAAGCGUGGGGAGCGAACAGG
This 254-nucleotide ribosomal RNA is filed under the name uncultured bacterium. RNAcentral describes it as "partial 16S ribosomal RNA". It matches the Rfam family "Bacterial small subunit ribosomal RNA", at positions 524 to 776 of the family's 1533-position model. The record is from RNAcentral.